RNAcentral lists this ribosomal RNA (458 nucleotides) under uncultured bacterium. Its description in RNAcentral is "bacterial SSU rRNA". It matches the Rfam family "Bacterial small subunit ribosomal RNA", at positions 29 to 534 of the family's 1533-position model. The record is from RNAcentral.
AACGAACGCUGGCGGCAUGCCUAACACAUGCAAGUCGAACGAGACCUUCGGGUCUAGUGGCGCACGGGUGCGUAACGCGUGGGAACCUGCCUUUAGGUUCGGAAUAACUCAGAGAAAUUUGAGCUAAUACCGGAUAAUGUCUUCGGACCAAAGAUUUAUCGCCUUUAGAUGGGCCCGCGUUGGAUUAGCUAGUUGGUGGGUAAAGCCUACCAAGGCGACGAUCCAUAGCUGGUCUGAGAGGAUGAUCAGCCACACUGGGACUGAGACACGGCCCAGACUCCUACGGGAGGCAGCAGUGGGGAAUAUUGGACAAUGGGCGAAAGCCUGAUCCAGCAAUGCCGCGUGAGUGAUGAAGGCCUUAGGGUUGUAAAGCUCUUUUACCCGAGAUGAUAAUGACAGUAUCGGGAGAAUAAGCUCCGGCUAACUCCGUGCCAGCAGCCGCGGUAAUGUGACUACUG